Molecule: long non-coding RNA, 569 nt
Organism: Tribolium castaneum (red flour beetle)
Lineage: Eukaryota; Metazoa; Arthropoda; Insecta; Coleoptera; Tenebrionidae
Exons: 2
Source: RefSeq, a predicted model, not a curated record
CACUGUCCGCUGCAAUCAGCAGAAUCUAAAAUUGUUGUUAUUAUGAAAUUAGUGAUUAAAUUGUGACAUAAAAAUAAAUUAGCGAGUCAUCCGUCUGGGGGGUAAUUCCGGGUGUGGAUGAAAAAAAGGCAGAAGUAAACACUGAAAACAAUUUAUUUCUACUUAUGUACAGUAUCUACAAGAUCUAAAAAACCGCUAACACUUAUAUGAGAGUGAUGAGAUACAAUUGUGACUUAAAUAAUACAAGUAACUAUUCCAUGAUCCACAACGAACGCCAAUGCCGUGCAAAUUACCAUCCAUGACCCCAUUUGAGUCCCACAUUCUUGGUGGGUCCCCAAAGGCCAUCGGCUUUAAUUUUUCCGGAAGGUCCAGCCACGAUAACGGGGGCGGUUGGGGGUCCUCUGAUGGCAGCCCCGUGUUCGCUGACUCCAAUGGUACCACCUCCUUUGGUGAUGACUCCAAGACUGUGUUCCACGGCAAUAGGGGCGGCCAACACUAUACCAUGGCCCCAACCCUCGCCCAGUCCUCGACCACCUUCCAAACCCUCACCCUCACCACCCUCCCAACCA